RNAcentral lists this ribosomal RNA (253 nucleotides) under uncultured bacterium. RNAcentral describes it as "partial 16S ribosomal RNA". It matches the Rfam family "Bacterial small subunit ribosomal RNA", at positions 524 to 776 of the family's 1533-position model. The record is from RNAcentral.
UACGUAGGGGGCAAGCGUUAUCCGGAUUUACUGGGUGUAAAGGGAGCGUAGACGGCGUGCCAAGUCUGAUGUGAAAGGCCGGGGCUCAACCCCGGGACUGCAUUGGAAACUGGCAUGCUGGAGUGCCGGAGGGGCAAGCGGAAUUCCUAGUGUAGCGGUGAAAUGCGUAGAUAUUAGGAGGAACACCGGUGGCGAAGGCGGCUUGCUGGACGGUAACUGACGUUGAGGCUCGAAAGCGUGGGGAGCAAACAGG